CCUACGGGAGGCAGCAGUGGGGAAUCUUGCGCAAUGGGCGAAAGCCUGACGCAGCCAUGCCGCGUGAGUGAAGAAGGUCUUAGGAUUGUAAAGCUCUUUCGCUCGUGAGGCGGUAACGAGAGAAGAAGCCCCGGCUAACUUCGUGCCAGCAGCCGCGGUAAUACGAAGGGGGCUAGCGUUGUUCGGAAUUACUGGGCGUAAAGCGCGCGUAGGCGGUUUUGCAAGCCAGAGGUGAAAUGCCUGAGCUCAACUUAGGAAUUGCCUUUGGGACUGCGAGGCUUGAGGACUGGAGAGGUGAGUGGAAUUCCCAGUGUAGAGGUGAAAUUCGUAGAUAUUGGGAAGAACACCGGUGGCGAAGGCGGCUCACUGGCCAGUUCUGACGCUGCAGCGCGAAAGCGUGGGGAUCAAACAGGAUUAGAUACCCUUGUAGUC
Molecule: ribosomal RNA, 432 nt
Filed under: uncultured bacterium
Lineage: Bacteria
Description: partial 16S ribosomal RNA
Rfam family: Bacterial small subunit ribosomal RNA
Source: RNAcentral